UUUCUAGUGACAUAAUACUAGAUACGCCCUGCCCCACGUAAUUAAGUGGCCGCGGUACAAUAACCGUGCUAAGGUAGCAUAAUCAAUUGUUUAUUAAUUGUAAAAUUGAAUGAAAGGGUAAACAAAAUAAAGACUGUCUCUUAUAAACUAACAAAAAUUAUCCUUCUAAUGAAGAGAUUAGAAUAUAAUUAAAGGACAAGAAGACCCUAUAGAGCUUUCAUAUAACCUUAACAAAUAAGCUAAAGUUUGGUUGGGGCGACCUAAGAUAAAUACUAACAUCUUUAUAUAAAUAAGAGAUUCUUCUCAUAACAAUGAUCCUAAUAAGAUCAGUGAACAAAGUUACCUUAGGGAUAACAGGCUAAUUAUUUUUAAGAGUUCUUAUCUAAAAAAUAGAUUGGCACCUCGAUGUUGGCUUAGGAACACUAUUAUUCGCAAAAGAAUAUAUAGUUGGUUUGUUCAACCAUUAAAAUCCU
RNAcentral lists this ribosomal RNA (473 nucleotides) under Cambarincola philadelphicus. RNAcentral's name for it is "partial 16S ribosomal RNA". It matches the Rfam family "Bacterial large subunit ribosomal RNA", at positions 1832 to 2597 of the family's 2925-position model. Lineage: Eukaryota; Metazoa; Annelida; Clitellata; Branchiobdellida. The record is from RNAcentral.